AUUUUUUUUUGGGUGAAACAUUAUGGGUCCUCUUUUGAUUACGUAAAUAUUAUUCAAAUACACAAUACGUUACUUUUAAAAUACAUGGUAAGUACUUUUCAUUAUGCUAUGAUUUUUUCCAAGUUUUCUUUGGGGAAUUUUCAAAGUAAAUGGUGAAGAUUUAUUAAAUACACGAUGUACUUUUUUUUAUAAGAGACGGCCAUUUUUUAGUACACGAUGAACCCUUUUGCGUAACACGACGAACAAAUAUUAACAUGCGACAGAAAUUUUAACACAGGAUGAGGAGAGUGCGAGAGCACGUGGAAGCGGAGCCAGCGCUGGGACAAGCACUGGCGCAGGAGAUGGGGUGCGCUCGAGGAGCGCAUCGACAAGGAGUUGAAGCUGUUGGCCCUUCGGAUCGUCGCUGAGGCCAACAUAGAGGAGCGUGUUCGUAUGGUCUCACUAGAUGUCUAGAUCCCGUGCCUGGCGCACCAUAUGUCAGUGUGAUCUCACGAUAUCAAGGAUCAGGGGAGUCCUUUUAUGGUUCGGCCAGGGGCUAAAACACUUAAGAUAAACAACUAGUUAAAUCAUCACCUUAAUUAAGGCAUGACUCUUUUUUUUAUCAGUGAAAACAACAGGAGAGGCUCCUACCGACAUGGCCCUUUUUACCCAGGUUCAAAUCAUUGUGAUGCGUAAUACCCUAUUCCCGCCUUGUUUUGUUUAUGUGGUGGAUAUAUGGUGAACACAAGUGCUCGCGCACUGCUAGCGAGUGCUUGUGCGUUGUUAUUGUCCUUGAAUCUUUUGUUUGGGAGUGUUGUGGGACCCCUGCAAACAAAAUGCUCCAUGGUCUUACAUGUGGUGCUCAUAAAUUAACUAAAAUAAUAUGUUGACUUUGUUCUUCAUGCCAAGUCCAUAAGACUUAAAAGGUACGUUGAAAACCUACAAAACAUUUCCCGCAAAAAAAAACCCUACAAAACACCAUAGAGGGGAAAUAAACACUAAUAGACAGACUUAAUUAAUGAGAUAAUUAAAGAUAAACUUGAAAACUCACGCACACACGCACAUGCACACGCACGCGCACACACAGAGUCGUCAGUAUUGUUUGUUCGUUUGUUUAGUUAUAAGUUUGUUAUGUUUGCCUUUUACUUUUUUUCUUUUUUUCUUUUCUAACAAGAAGUAUUCCGGAAAAAUCUUAAAUUUACAAAAUUCUGAUCGCAAAUUUAAUCGAUGUUCAUAUUGUGUAAAAAAAGUGUGCAUUUUUUUGAAAAAUAUUCUUACCACAAAAAUAAUUUUCAUGAUUUUUAAGAAAUGUUGACAUGUACUAAAAAAUAUAUGAUCAUUACAUUUUUCAAAUGUUCAUGAAAAGGUAAAAAAACGUUCACCAAAACAUUUUUAACAUGUAUCUUCAAUGUUCAAUGUAAUUUGUAAGUUCACCAUGCAUUUAGAAAAAAAUUGACACAUAUUCAUUUAUUUGAAAAAUGAUUGACACGUCUUUAAAAAAUGUUUACCAUAUAUUUAAGAAAAUGUUCAACACAAUAUUGAAAUUUGCUCAACGUAUUUCAAAAAAUGUUCACCGUGUAUUUAUAGUAAAAUGUUGGAAGGUAUUUUAAAAAUGUGUCGUGUGUUCAAACAAUGUCCAGGGUGUAUUAAAAAAUAUUUGAGAUGUAUCUUACAAAUGUUAAACAUAUAAAAACUGUUCAUCAUCUAUUUACAAAAAUGUUGGAUAUGUAUUCCAAAAAAAUUGAUGUAUAUUCAAAAGUAUUGACUGUAUAUUCAUAAGAAUGUUCGACCAGUAGACCAAAAAUAUUCAAGAUCUAUUCAGAAAAAAUUUGACAUGUACUCCUCCAUUUCUAAAUAUAAGCCUGUUUAGAGAUUUCAAUAUGGACUAUAUACGUAUGUAUAUAGACGUAUUUUAAAGCAUAGAUUCACUCAUUUUACUCUGUAUGUAGUACAUAUGGAAAUCCCUAAAGGGCUUAUAUUUAGAAAUGGAGGGAGUACUUAACAGAAUAAUAUUAAAGAAAAAGCAGAUGAAAGGAAAGAAAAAUGUUUAACACAUGUACAAAAAAUGUUGAAAGUGUAAUAAGAAAAUUUGAGUAACCUAAAACUGGGGCCUAAAAAUCAUGAAUAUGAAAAUAUGAAAAUAAUAGGAAACCUAAAAAGGAAAAGGAAAAAAGAAAAAACCAAACGAAAAUAGAAAACGCACUAAAACAAAUUGAAAGAAAAUAAAAAAGGACGCGGAACCUUCCUUAGGCUGCCUAAACCGGGAGAGCAACUAGUUGACGAGCGCUCCUUCGGAAGCCUCACAACGAUCAGCGCCACUUGGCGCGCUCUCAGUCACCGCCACGUGUCGGGCGCUCCCUUCGGAAUUUUUUCCCGCACGCGUUUUUGGAUUUUUUUUUAAAUGGUUUUUUGAUUUUUUUUUCCACCAUUCUUCCUUAGCUUUUGGACCAAAACAAAAUUCGAAAAAAAAUUGCGCGAAAAAACAUGUUUUUUUUCUUCCGCGGGAGGCACGUUUUUGCUUUUGCGAGAGGCACAACCAUGCCUCUCAGAAAUGAAAAAAAACAUGUUUUCUGUUUUUUUCGCAGAGGCACGGUUUUGCUUUCGCGAGAGGCAUGACCGUGUCUCUCGGAAACGGAAAAAACGUGUUUUGUAUUGUUUUUCCUUCUGCGAGAGGCUCGGAAACGAAAAAAAACGUGUUUUCUGUUUUUUUCUUCCGUAAGAGGCACGAUUUUGCUUCCACGAGAGGCACGGUUGUGUUUUCGCGAGAGGCACGGCCGUGCCUCUCGAAAACGGAAAAAAACGCGUUAUGUUUUUUUCUUCCGUGGGAGGCACGAUUUUGCUUCUGCGUUCUGUUGUGAUUUCUCGAGAGGCACGGCCGUGCCUCUUUCGAAAAGGGAAAAAAACCGUGCUCCCAGUUUGGUUUUUGUGUGAAAAAAGUUCGUCAAAACCUAUCAACAUGGUAUCUAAUUUUGAAGAUCUCGACGCGAGGAAUCCAACGGUGAAAACGGUUCGAGAUUUGGAUGCACGGCUUAAGAGAUAAAACGUUUUGAAUAAACGGAUCUACGAAAAAAAGGGAAAAUUUUCCAUGUUGCGACAAAUGGCGCACAUGCAGCAUGCCACUUCUCACAACCUGGGAAGAUGGGAGUGAUCUUUACAAUGAGUACUACUCAAUUCGUGAUUUCACUAAACCGGAGUACUAAAACCAUGCUAUGGGCCGGCUCACUUCAAUGGUCCCCCAUAUCCUAUUUGGUGCCCUUAGCACCAGUUAUAGGCAUUUCUGUAAACCGUUGCACACCACUAAUCUAUCUUGGGCUGGGCCCAUUUAGAUUUUACACUUUACUUCUCGACAACAAUUCCUCCUUUCCGAAACACACGCAUCGCACGUGAAUGGCCAGGCCAAUAUAAUAUUCGCUUUUCUUUUCAUAAAGGUUCCCAGUAGGUUUUGUGAAGCUUCUACAUGCUUCCGGCUUUUUUAUUUUGCUUUUCCGAUUUUUUUUCUUUGUUCGCAAUUUAUUUUCAAAUUCUUGAAUUUUUUUCAAAUCCACGAACUUUAUUCUAAUUCAACGAUUAUUUUGUGAAUGCGUGAACUUUUUUCAAAUCCAUUGAUUUUUCGUAAAAUCCAACAAAUAUGUUUUGAAUGCGUGAACUUUUUCCAAAUUCAUUAACUUUUUCAAAUCCAUGAACUUUUUCAAUUCUGCAAAUAAAUUUUUUGAAUGCGUGAACUUUUUUGAAAUCGUGAACUUUUCUGAAGUUGUGAACUUUCUGAAGUUCAAGAAAGUUUUCAAAUCCAAAAGAAAUUUGACCUCGUGAACUUUUCUGGAGUUUGAACCUUUUGAAGUUCAAGAAAAUAUUCAAAUCCAAAAGAAAUUUGAACCCGUGAACUUUUAAAAAAAAUUGUGAAUUCAAUUUUCGUGUGCAUUUUUUAAUAUUUUCUUUUGAAUUUUUCGUAUUUUCUAAAGAAGUCAACGGUCAACGAUGGCCUGGUUAACUGUGACCAGUCAACUGUCAAACCGAGCGACCAGAAUCGGGUGAACUGGCAUGUCCUGAGCGAGCACUCGCCUCGUUGCUGGGCCGGCUGAUGGAGGGGAGGCGCAUGAGGCGCUGGGGAGGUGGUCUCGAUGAUCUGUAUGGCAAUAAGUGAUACUCCCUCCGUUCCAUAAUAUAGUGCUUAUAGAUUUUCUCAAAAGUCAAACUUUACAAACUUUGAUCAAGUUUGUAGAGAGAAAUAUUUAUAUCUACAAUAGCAAAAAUAUGUAAUGUGAAACUACAUCUUGUGACGAAUCUAAUGAUAUAUAUUUCGCACUCUAGAUAUAAAUAUUUUUCUCCACAAACUUGGUCAAAGUUUAUGAGGUUUGAUUUUUUUAAAAAUCAAUAGGCACUACAUUAUGAAACGGAGGGAGUACUAUAUAGCGAUCACAUACAAAAUGGGCUUGUCUCAAAAAAAAAUGGGCUCAUUAAAAGAUGAGAAGACAGAGUUUUUUUUUGCGGAAAUAAUUCUUGUAUUACUCAAUCAAAGGGGUUCAAUCACGGCUAACUGCGUCCAAAACGACCUCAGGUCCUGAUCCAAGCCAGACGGCAGUACGGCAUUGGGUCCUACCAAAGUUUGGUAGAAUAUAUGACUGGAAGAAUUACAACUGCGGCGUAUAUGAGUAAUACAAGAAGUAUGUUCAAACAUGCUAUCUUUGAUCUCUCUUAUAAGAAAAGCAUACUUCGAUCUGUUUGUGUCUCCACUUCUGACCAUGUUCACUGCCUCCAAAUUAUCACAUUCGAUAUCAAUUGGUGGGCUGCUCCAUUGUAGUGCAAGCAUUACUCCCUCCCUGACUGCUAAAAUCUCAGAUUCUAGCACAUCAUUGCAUGAGAACAGAUGCCUACAAGAGGGGGCGGGACAAAUGGGUUCUGGUAAUUUUGACCAUAAACCUAUUUGUCGCUGGCCCGAUGCUACAGCCGUUAAUUAAAGUUUGUGACCUCUUGUAUCACGACGGAGCAACACCGAACUCGUAUCGGUAUCGCUUGGGCAGGGGCAGUGAAGAGAGCAACGGGAUUGGUCUAAGGAAAAAAACAUGGUGUUUUAUUCUGUGUGAGUCUGAUCUCCUGCUGUCUGCACCUGAAAACAUGGUGGUUCUGCUUCCUCUUCAGCCCACAGUUCCUGAUACUUCGGGCAAAGGAUUCACCACGAGAAAUGCCCCAAAAUUCAGCCCACAGUUACAGUACUAAUUAUCUUUUCAGUAUUAUCCUCAUGAAAUGCCUCGCAGGUGGUGAUCUGGGCUCGGGAAACACUCAGCCUACAGUUGCUAACAAACUGCCUUCGUCGCCACCAUAUGUACCAAGCCGCAACAGCAACAAGGUCAUGUAUCGGCAGUUCCCUCAUGCCCGGCUGUAACUUUGUCAAUUCUACAGUGACACUCAGGAUUCAGGUAUUGACCUGCCCUUGGAUAUGGAUUCCUGUAUGACACUCAAGAGCACACCUCCUCGCUGUACUGUUUUGUUAAAUGGCAGCUCCAAACUCUUUGCUGCCAAUCCUAGUAUAAUACUGCUGUCAAUAUAGUGCUGGAAAAUCUUUAUUCUCAAAGAUACAACAAAUAAAAACAUCGACGGAGCUGGAAAGGUCAGGUUGGCAUUGCUCAGCCCGGCGAUGGAAGAGUAGAGGAAAGCAACAACGAAGAAGCUAGUGACUAACAUGGCAGCCGCCGUGGCAUUGCUCGUGACCUCGGAGCAGCAGCAACGGUAGGGUGUCAUGCCUAACGUGCACUGAUAAUUAUUUUAAGUUAAGCUCCUGGCUACUCCCUCUAUCCCAUAAUAUAGGACAUUAUUACAUCCAAUAUGGGGCAAAGUAACAGCAGCGCAAUUGGCAAGCCAACACACAAACAACGAACAAUGUGAGACUAAGACAGAACAUCUGGAGAAAUUUUGUAAUUUGAAACAUAACGUAACAAACUCAGACUUAGAUGAACAAUUCGCCACUCAGUUUACAAUACACACCGACAACCGCCUCAAAAACCACCAAAUCAAGGGAUGAGCACAUCGCGCCGCACCUAGAAACAAACUAGCCUAACCAACAAGUGGAUACGAGACCCAGAUUAUUCAAAAGUAAACACGGCUAU
Molecule: long non-coding RNA, 6080 nt
Filed under: Triticum aestivum (bread wheat)
Lineage: Eukaryota; Viridiplantae; Streptophyta; Magnoliopsida; Poales; Poaceae
Description: long non-coding RNA (TAES_LNC008352)
Source: RNAcentral